This 465-nucleotide ribosomal RNA is filed under the name Vreelandella stevensii. Its description in RNAcentral is "partial 16S ribosomal RNA". It matches the Rfam family "Bacterial small subunit ribosomal RNA", at positions 338 to 795 of the family's 1533-position model. Lineage: Bacteria; Pseudomonadati; Pseudomonadota; Gammaproteobacteria; Oceanospirillales; Halomonadaceae. The record is from RNAcentral.
CCUACGGGUGGCAGCAGUGGGGAAUAUUGGACAAUGGGGGCAACCCUGAUCCAGCCAUGCCGCGUGUGUGAAGAAGGCCCUCGGGUUGUAAAGCACUUUCAGUGAGGAAGAACGCCUGGUGGUUAAUACCCAUCAGGAAAGACAUCACUCACAGAAGAAGCACCGGCUAACUCCGUGCCAGCAGCCGCGGUAAUACGGAGGGUGCGAGCGUUAAUCGGAAUUACUGGGCGUAAAGCGCGCGUAGGUGGCUUGAUAAGCCGGUUGUGAAAGCCCCGGGCUCAACCUGGGAACGGCAUCCGGAACUGUCAAGCUAGAGUGCAGGAGAGGAAGGUAGAAUUCCCGGUGUAGCGGUGAAAUGCGUAGAGAUCGGGAGGAAUACCAGUGACGAAGGCGGCCUUCUGGACUGACACUGACACUGAGGUGCGAAAGCGUGGGUAGCAAACAGGAUUAGAUACCCGAGUAGUC